UAGGGAAUCUUCCGCAAUGGGCGAAAGCCUGACGGAGCAACGCCGCGUGAGUGAUGAAGGUCUUAGGAUCGUAAAACUCUGUUGUUAGGGAAGAACAAAUUUGUUAGUAACUGAACAAGUCUUGACGGUACCUAACCAGAAAGCCACGGCUAACUACGUGCCAGCAGCCGCGGUAAUACGUAGGUGGCAAGCGUUAUCCGGAAUUAUUGGGCGUAAAGCGCGCGUAGGCGGUUUCUUAAGUCUGAUGUGAAAGCCCACGGCUCAACCGUGGAGGGUCAUUGGA
This 283-nucleotide ribosomal RNA is filed under the name uncultured Staphylococcus sp. Its description in RNAcentral is "partial 16S ribosomal RNA". It matches the Rfam family "Bacterial small subunit ribosomal RNA", at positions 355 to 630 of the family's 1533-position model. Lineage: Bacteria; Bacillati; Bacillota; Bacilli; Caryophanales; Staphylococcaceae. The record is from RNAcentral.